GGGACUAGGAGUCAAGGAGGAUUCUGGGAAAUGUAGUAAAAAGACCCAGGCAGGAAGUGACAUAGCAGGAAGACUCAGAAUAUAAGCUGGAAUAAGAAGCAAAUCAUCCUCUUGCUCUUCCUCUUCGUCCUGCUCUGUGCUCUGGAGGCGCCAUGUGAUCCUGGGAAGAGGACGCCAGUGGAAGGUGUCCUCAAUAAGAGAUUCAGGAGAAAGACCACUGACCCAAGAAGACCACUGACCCAACUCAUGGCCAAAUGAAUCAGACUGUUUCUCUGUGAUCGAAAUGAACAACCAAAACUCAGAAUUUCUCUUGUUCUUAUGUUCUUCAUUCAUGCACCAUGGAAAGGAAAGCAGCCCUCUGUGAGGAACGUGGAUGGAUAGUUUGGCAGAUGCUUCAACUGCUGUGUGGCAAGGCCAAGAGGAAGGAAAAUAUAUUCCAUUUUGGAGAUGACAUUUUCAAGUUUCACAUUCUAAUUAUUAGACACUUUCUCACAGUGUUUGCACUGUUUCAUUUUUAGAUGAAAAAUGAUUUAACACCCCAGUGUUAGAACUCUUCAUGAUGACAUAUUAUGUUCAGCUUGGGUCAUUCAAGUUCAAAGGUCCAGAGGACUGGGAAGACUGCUGCAAAGUGGUGUCUUCUGGACACAAGGAUGUUGCACCAAUAAACUCACAGCAGCUGUGGAAGACUGAAUAUUGAGGAGGAGGUACAGGUGGUCCACAGCUACUGGAGAAGGAAGAGUGGGUUUUCUUCAGGGAUGGGGACACUGGUAGGUUGCCGAUGCUCCAGUGGUUAUUCAAAGUACAAGAAGAGCACAUGAAUUUGAGAGCGAGAUGUUUGUGUGAGGAACUGAGGAGUUGUUGGGAAUAGGGUUGGUUAUGAUGAAAUGAGUUGUAUUUGGGUGAAGAUAAUAGCUACUUCCUGUGGGAGGAAAUGUGGAAGAACACUAGGCCAUUUUGCCAAUUCUUUUCCUGAAUUCAUAUGCCUUUCAUGAAAUCAAAGAUUAUUUUGAAAAAGAAGACAUAAUAAAAGCAUAGACAUAAUAAAACAAUGUAAUAUAUAAAAUGAAAUAGAGUAGUUGAUUUUCCUUUUUCUCUAGCAUUUGGUGUUUUUUUAACAGUAAGUGAACUGAGACCAACAGAGCAUUUCUCACCAUGACUGGGCUCCCUGGCAGAUGUUAGAGGGGUACUGGGUGGUGGCUGCAUGCUGUUCUUGUUAUCUGAAUGCUGAAGCCCUCCCCAGUCCUGACCAUCCUUCUUGCUCUUGGGGAAUGCUAGCCAUGAAUCUGCACUUAGAUGAAGGCCUUCACCUACUGAGACAACAAGCUGACAUAGUUUUGCAAGGUGUGUGUGUGUGUGUGUGUGUGUGUGUGUGUGUGUGUGUGUGUGUAAGUUUAUGAGGUCAGAAAUGCCAGGGUGUGUUAGUGUACUGACUGUAAUUGUUAGAUUUGAAAAAUGGGGUGAACCAAGUAAAAGAACAAAGAC
RNAcentral lists this long non-coding RNA (1482 nucleotides) under Cricetulus griseus (Chinese hamster). Its description in RNAcentral is "lncRNA (ENSCGRG00015037184.1)". The record is from RNAcentral. Lineage: Eukaryota; Metazoa; Chordata; Mammalia; Rodentia; Cricetidae.